UACGUAGGGGGCAAGCGUUGUCCGGAAUCAUUGGGCGUAAAGCGCGCGUAGGCGGCCCGGUAAGUCCGCUCUGAAAGUCCAGGGCUUAACCCUGGAAAGCGGGUGGAUACUGCCGGGCUUGAAUCCGGAAGAGGCGAGUGGAAUUCCUGGUGUAGCGGUGGAAUGCGCAGAUAUCAGGAGGAACACCAAUAGCGAAGGCAGCUCGCUGGGACGGUAUUGACGCUAAGGCGCGAAAGCGUGGGGAGCAAACGGG
RNAcentral lists this ribosomal RNA (253 nucleotides) under uncultured bacterium. RNAcentral's name for it is "partial 16S ribosomal RNA". It matches the Rfam family "Bacterial small subunit ribosomal RNA", at positions 524 to 776 of the family's 1533-position model. The record is from RNAcentral.